UGGGCCGCUGAUAACAUCUUGGAAUCUCAGGAAGCAUGUAAGAACCAUGAGUAAGUGCUUCCAAUAACAGAGAAGGAUCCCUAAAAGUGUAGUUCAAUAGAGACUCUAAGUGGCGGACCUCAAUGUGCUCCUCUGGUUUCACUUGGAAUUGUGGCUUAUACGGUGUAUUAAAAAAAUCUACCUUUAUACCAAUCCAAUUCAGAAAUAAUAAGGCAGCAAUUUCACCACCAGCACUGAGGUAAGCACCAAUAAGUGCCUCAACAACAUCAGCAACUUUCUUUUUCUUUAAUUUUCUUCUUCUUGUUAUGUAUAGACUCCUUGCAUUGGAGAUAAAAUCCUCCCGUAAUGAAUAAUUUCCAGAAGCAUCACCAGGAACCAUCCAGUUUUUUUGGAUCAAAAGACUCAUUGCGGAUGAAUCCCGGCAGUUUGCAGUCACAUCCUAAUUUGCAAAGUGUGUCAUUACUAAUAAGUUUGUCCUUCUUACUGCUGAGCCUGCCCUCGUGAUGUUUUUGGUAUGUUUUGAAUAGCAGCUGACUAGCAGCAUAUUUAAGAAAAGAAUCCCCAAGAGUCUCUAGUGAUUCCAAAUGAAAUUUCUCUUGACACUUUUUUGUGGUAAUG
Molecule: unclassified non-coding RNA, 618 nt
Filed under: Hevea brasiliensis (rubber tree)
Lineage: Eukaryota; Viridiplantae; Streptophyta; Magnoliopsida; Malpighiales; Euphorbiaceae
Source: RNAcentral